GUAGGGAAUCUUCCACAAUGGGCGCAAGCCUGAUGGAGCAACACCGCGUGAGUGAAGAAGGGUUUCGGCUCGUAAAGCUCUGUUGUUAAAGAAGAACACGUAUGAGAGUAACUGUUCAUACGUUGACGGUAUUUAACCAGAAAGUCACGGCUAACUACGUACCAG
Molecule: ribosomal RNA, 165 nt
Filed under: uncultured bacterium
Lineage: Bacteria
Description: partial 16S rRNA
Rfam family: Bacterial small subunit ribosomal RNA
Source: RNAcentral